CUGUGCUAACCACCCAAGCCUUGGAAGGUCUUCGGACUGACUGAGGGGAGCGUGGGAACCUGGUGGGUAGUAGUCAAGCGAUGGGGUGACGCAGGAAGGUAGCUGAUCCCGGCCGGUGGUUGUGCCGGGGUAAGCGUGUAGGGCGGUGUGUAGGCAAAUCCGCACACCAUGAAGGCUGAGACGUGAUGCCGAGCCGAUUCAGGUGAAGUCAGUGAUCCUAUGCUGCCGAGAAAAGCCUCUAGCGAGUUCUUAGCGGCCCGUACCCCAAACCGACACAGGUGGUCAGGUAGAGAAUACCAAGGCGACGGGCGAACUGUGGUUAAGGAACUCGGCAAAUUACCCCCGUAACUUCGGGAGAAGGGGGGCCGGACACGUGAAGCAACACGCUUGUGGAGCGUGGUAUGGCCGCAGAGACCAGGGGGAAGCGACUGUUUACCAAAAACACAGGUCCAUGCGAAGAAGUAAUUCGAUGUAUAUGGACUGACGCCUGCCCGGUGCUGGAACGUUAAGGGGACCUGUUAGCUCUUCGGGGCGAGGCGGAGAACUUAAGCGCCAGUAAACGGCGGUGGUAACUAUAACCAUCCUAAGGUAGCGAAAUUCCUUGUCGGGUAAGUUCCGACCUGCACGAAUGGCGUAACGACUUCCCUACUGUCUCAACCACAGGCCCGGCGAAAUUGCAGUACGAGUAAAGAUGCUCGUUACGCGCGGCAGGACGGAAAGACCCCGGGACCUUUACUAUAGCUUGACAUUGGUAUCUGAGUUAAUUUGUGUAGGAUAGGUGGGAGCCUGUGAAGCUCGUACGCCAGUACGGGUGGAGGCAAUCUUGAAAUACCACUCUGGUUGAUUCGGGUAUCUAACUUCGGACCGUGAUCCGGUUCAGGGACAGUGUCUGGUGGGUAGUUUAACUGGGGCGGUUGCCUCCUAAAGAGUAACGGAGGCGCCCAAAGGUUCCCUCAGCCUGGUUGGCAAUCAGGUGCUGAGUGUAAGUGCACAAGGGAGCUUGACUGUGAGACUGACAGGUCGAGCAGGGACGAAAGUCGGGACUAGUGAUCCGGCACCGGCAUGUGGAAGCGGUGUCGUUCAACGGAUAAAAGGUACCCCGGGGAUAACAGGCUGAUCUUCCCCAAGAGUCCAUAUCGACGGGAUGGUUUGGCACCUCGAUGUCGGCUCGUCGCAUCCUGGGGCUGUAGCAGGUCCCAAGGGUUGGGCUGUUCGCCCAUUAAAGCGGUACGCGAGCUGGGUUUAGAACGUCGUGAGACAGUUCGGUCCCUAUCCGCCGUGCGCGUAGGAUACUUGAGAAGGGCUGUCCCUACUACGAGAGGACCGGGACGGACGAACCUCUGGUGUGCCAGUUGUCCCGCCAGGGGCACGGCUGGUUAGCUACGUUCGGAAGGGAUAACCGCUGAAAGCAUCUAAGCGGGAAGCUCGCUUCAAGAUGAGGUAUCCCACCCACACUUGUGUGGGGUAAGGCCCCCAGCUAGACCACUGGGUUGAUAGGCAGGAAAUGUAAGCCCGGUAACGGGUUCAGUUGACCUGUACUAAUAGGCCGAGGACUUGACCUU
Molecule: ribosomal RNA, 1562 nt
Filed under: metagenome
Description: bacterial LSU rRNA
Rfam family: Bacterial large subunit ribosomal RNA
Source: RNAcentral